This 321-nucleotide ribosomal RNA is filed under the name Bacillus siamensis. RNAcentral describes it as "bacterial LSU rRNA". It matches the Rfam family "Bacterial large subunit ribosomal RNA", at positions 1109 to 1435 of the family's 2925-position model. The record is from RNAcentral. Lineage: Bacteria; Bacillati; Bacillota; Bacilli; Caryophanales; Bacillaceae.
GAAGCAGCCACCAUUUAAAGAGUGCGUAAUAGCUCACUGGUCGAGUGACUCUGCGCCGAAAAUGUACCGGGGCUAAACGUAUCACCGAAGCUGCGGACUGUUCUUCGAACAGUGGUAGGAGAGCGUGCUAAGGGCUGUGAAGCAAGACCGGAAGGACUUGUGGAGCGCUUAGAAGUGAGAAUGCCGGUAUGAGUAGCGAAAGAGGGGUGAGAAUCCCCUCCACCGAAUGCCUAAGGUUUCCUGAGGAAGGCUCGUCCGCUCAGGGUUAGUCGGGACCUAAGCCGAGGCCGAAAGGCGUAGGCGAUGGAUAACAGGUUGAUA